RNAcentral lists this ribosomal RNA (1353 nucleotides) under Triticum aestivum (bread wheat). RNAcentral describes it as "partial small subunit ribosomal RNA". Lineage: Eukaryota; Viridiplantae; Streptophyta; Magnoliopsida; Poales; Poaceae. The record is from RNAcentral.
AUGAAAUGUCACAAACCGAUGUUUCAAAAUAAAGAAUGUGAUGCCAGUGUUGGUUCUAUUUCUAAAGCGUUUGUCCCCACUGGCAUGCUCAACUCAGACAGUGCUGACGUUGUUUUAUAUUCUCUACGUCAGAAGUACCGAGACACUGACAAGUUGAUAGUUCCCAGAUGGGUGACGAGCAAGAUCCGUGAUGGAAAUAUUGAUUCCAAUGUGCUAAAUUGGUUCACGAGAUCAGGUGAGUGGCUGGAUCUUGCUGAGCACGACUACAGGUUCUUUGGCAGCCAGUUCUCGGAGCUCCAGCGCAUAGCUAUUGAUCUUAGCCAGGGGCGUUCUCCCGAAAAGACAAGAUCUGGUGUUAUGAAGGGGUGGUUGGGAGCUCUGAGAGGUUCUACGGCUGCUUGUGUAGAGAGCCCUACUACACCCAAGAUUCCCAUUGUGGAAUUGAUAGACAGCGAUGAUGAUGUGUUUGACAAGAUUGUUGGCAUGGGAAGAGUCACGAGGAGCGCUGGUGCCAAAGGUUUAUCUCCCCUUGCUGGAAUAGUGGCUCGUAGAGCUGGUGGUGCUAGGAAAGAUCCUGCUUUGGAUUCUGGUAAUGUUGUAAGCGUGAAGCGUGCACCCAGAGCUCCUAUAAAGUUUUGCUCCCCUGUGCAGCAGCUUCACCCUCAUAAAUUUCCUCACCUGGACAAGGCUCGCAGGUUGUAUAAUCUGUUGCUUAGUGAUGAAUGGUGUGAGAAGUAUGCCGAGAAUACAUUCUCAAUGAUACCUCAGCCUGAUGAAAGCGUAACUAGCUUCACUAGGAAUCGCAUCUGGGAAAUUUUUUCACCUCGGCAAAUGAUGGAGGGUGAUGUAAUGGACUUCCUCAUUGAUGAUUGGAAGCAAGAUCUCGAGAGAAAUGCUGAUUUCGCAUCUGGGAAAAGGGUAUUGCUGAGUCCAUAUUUCAUCACGGUUAUGCUUGACUGUAUGUUUUACGGUGAUGAAAAUAAAGUGUUUAAUGUGGAGAGUGCAGCGAGAGAUUUCAAGAGCUAUGUUAAAGAUAAGGAAGACUUGCUCAGUGACGACCUUAUCAUGAUGCCUCUAUUCAAGCCUAUGAUUUUAGGAAAGGAUAAGAAAGUGAACCACUAUUCCUUAUAUGUCAUGAAUCGGUACCGAAGUAGCGUUGACAUCCUUGACUCUUUACCUUAUCUGAAGAACCACCAUCCUUCAAAGUACACCUAUCAUAAAGACUGCGAGAAGAUUCCACGCAUUGUUGAUUGGAACGCUGAGGAUCUGUAUAGAGUUGUGUUCAACCGGAAUAGCCAGCUUGUGGUGAUGGAGCUUCCCAAGGAGGUUCAGACUUUGGCUCCUGAUGCAUAG